RNAcentral lists this ribosomal RNA (630 nucleotides) under uncultured bacterium. RNAcentral's name for it is "bacterial SSU rRNA". It matches the Rfam family "Bacterial small subunit ribosomal RNA", at positions 224 to 865 of the family's 1533-position model. The record is from RNAcentral.
GCGGGGCCUGCGGCCCAUCAGGUUGUUGGCGGGGUAACGGCCCACCAAGCCGAUGACGGGUAGCUGGUCUGUGAGGACAGACAGCCAGACUGGGACUGAGACACGGCCCAGACUCCUACGGGAGGCAGCAGCAAGGAAUUUUCGGCAAUGGGCGCAAGCCUGACCGAGCAACGCCGCGUGGAGGAUGACGGCCUUCGGGUUGUAAACUCCUUUUGCGGGGGAUGAUGAUGACCGUACCCCGCGAAUCAGGCUCGGCUAACUCUGUGCCAGCAGCCGCGGUAAGACAGAGGAGCCAAGCGUUGUCCGGAUUGACUGGGCGUAAAGCGCACGCAGGCGGUUGCGCGCGUGGGGUGUGAAAGCGAGCCGCUUAACGGCUCGAGGCCAUCCCAUACGGCGCAACUCGAGAGUGGCAGAGGUUCGUGGAAUUGCCGGUGUAGUGGUGAAAUGCGUAGAGAUCGGCAGGAACACCAAGGGGGAAACCAGCGAACUGGGCCAUAUCUGACGCUCAGGUGCGAAAGCGUGGGGAGCGAACCGGAUUAGAUACCCGGGUAGUCCACGCGGUAAACGAUGAAUACUCGGCAUCUGGCGGCCGAUCUUCGGCGGCCGGGUGCCCCAGCUAACGCGGUAAGU